This 140-nucleotide ribosomal RNA is filed under the name uncultured Kineosporia sp. RNAcentral describes it as "partial 16S ribosomal RNA". It matches the Rfam family "Bacterial small subunit ribosomal RNA", at positions 355 to 507 of the family's 1533-position model. The record is from RNAcentral. Lineage: Bacteria; Bacillati; Actinomycetota; Actinomycetes; Kineosporiales; Kineosporiaceae.
UGGGGAAUAUUGGGCAAUGGAGGNAACUCUGACCCAGCGACGCCGCGUGAGGGAUGAAGGCCUUCGGGUUGUAAACCUCUUUCAGUAGGGAAGAAGCGAAAGUGACGGUACCUACAGAAGAAGCACCGGCUAACUAUGUG